AGCGAACGCUGGCGGCAGGCCUAACACAUGCAAGUCGAACGAACCUUUCGGGGUUAGUGGCGGACGGGUGAGUAACACGUGGGAACGUGCCUUUAGGUUCGGAAUAACUCAGGGAAACUGGGGCAAAACCGAAUGUGCCCCUCGGGGGAAAGGUUUAUCCCCUUUAGAGCGGCCCGCGGUUGUUUAGCUAGUUGGUUGUGGUAAUGGCCCACCAAGGGCACGAUCAGUAGCUGGGCUGAGAGGAUGAGCAGCCACAUUGGGGCUGAGACACGGCCCAAACUCCUACGGGAGGCAGCAGUGGGGAAUCUUGCGCAAUGGGCGAAAGCCUGACGCAGCCAUGCCGCGUGAAUGAUGAAGGUCUUAGGAUUGUAAAAUUCUUUCACCGGGGACGAUAAUGACGGUACCCGGAGAAGAAGCCCCGGCUAACUUCGUG
This 433-nucleotide ribosomal RNA is filed under the name uncultured bacterium. RNAcentral describes it as "partial 16S ribosomal RNA". It matches the Rfam family "Bacterial small subunit ribosomal RNA", at positions 29 to 507 of the family's 1533-position model. The record is from RNAcentral.